CCGCCGUUAAAUAACGAAUGGACGGCCCCGCAUGGCCGUCAGAUCGUCACUCCGUUGCGCGACCGCCGCCGCCGCGCUCGCACUCCACCACCAACAGCCAGCCUUCCUCGCCGCCGUCCGCCUCCGGCUUCGCCGGAUCCCGACGAGGAGAGCCAUGUCUUCGUCGUCGUCGGCUGCCGCCGCCGCCGCGCCGCACCAGGCCGGGACGUGGCACGCGGUGCCGGACCUCAGCCUCCGCGACCACCGUUUCGCCGUCCCUCUCGACCACUCCGCCGGCUCCACGCCCACCAUCACCGUCUUCGCCCGCGAGGUCGUCGCAGCCGGAAAAGAAGAGGCACCUUUGCCUUAUUUGAUGUACCUACAAGGUGGACCAGGAUUCGAAAGUCCUCGUCCCAUGGAAGCAAGUGGAUGGGUAAAGAAAGCAUGUGAAGAAUACCGCGUGGUGUUACUUGAUCAGCGAGGAACAGGAUUGUCAACACCGUUGACAACAUCAUCUCUUUCACAAAUAACAUCUGCAGUAGAGCAGGUGGAGUAUUUGAAGCAUUUCAGGGCAGAUAACAUAGUUAAGGAUGCAGAAUUUAUUCGUCUGAACCUUGUACCAGAUGCCAAGCCGUGGACAAUUCUGGGACAGUGACGUGGAUUUGUAUAAUCUAUACAAAUCCACGUCACUUAUUUCAGGACGGAGUAUUUAAUUAUACCAGAGAAGUGCCUCCUCGUGCUCUCCCUCUCUACUUGCUCCAGCGCCACGCCCCCUGCCCCCAACGCCGCCGCCCCGUCGCACGAGCCUGCCGCCCCGUUGUCCAUCGAGUGAGCUCGCCGCAUGACGCCCGCGCCUUGCCGCCGCUCUUCAUGCCCUCUGCGCCCCGCCCUCGCCAAUCGAAAUCGAAGAGCAGGUCGAAGAGGUUUUAGAUUCCGGCGAAACAGGUCGUCCAAGAUGUAGAGGAGGUUGAGGAGGUGGUGCCAGAGGAGAUCGUGGACAUGCUCUGGAAGCACACGUACGCGGACGAGCUACGGCAGGGCCUGCUCCGCAGCCAUGGCGCCAGCGCGCGCGUGCGCACCCUAGCGACGUCGUCUGUGUUGACGUGUCCAGCGUGGCGCCACGGUGGCACUGACAGGUGGGCCCUCCUAUCAGUUUUACCGUCAAAACGUACUCAACUGCGAAAUCAAUGUGCGGGAGUACCUCCGGACCCGAAAAUGGUGGUGAUUUGAAUAUAUAUUUUUUUUAAAGGUUGACGACACUCAGUCCUCCUUCAGCUUUGGCUCGGCAAACUAGUUACUAUGCAGCAAGUGGUGGAUUUUUUUUGGUAAGAUCAUGGCCUCUCUAUAGGUAGUGUCUUCUAUAUUUGUCAAUUUGGGUGAUCACCCCUUUAGGUAGGACAAAUGUGCUCAUUUGAAAGGUAGGAAGUGAUGAGAGGACAGAGCUGACCAGUUGCAGUUUACCUCCAUAUGAAAGCAUGCUAGAGAAGCAAGUAAGUUGCUUUCAAUUUGUUUGAAUGUUUGAUCAUGGGCAUGAACUAUUCAAUCUUUGGUU
RNA transcript from Brachypodium distachyon (stiff brome), 1531 nucleotides. It is a transcript of the gene named proline iminopeptidase, with no coding region annotated. The transcript is spliced from 5 exons. Lineage: Eukaryota; Viridiplantae; Streptophyta; Magnoliopsida; Poales; Poaceae. The record is from RefSeq and is a predicted model, not a curated record.